This 475-nucleotide ribosomal RNA is filed under the name uncultured Glomus. RNAcentral describes it as "SSU rRNA". It matches the Rfam family "Eukaryotic small subunit ribosomal RNA", at positions 569 to 1049 of the family's 1831-position model. Lineage: Eukaryota; Fungi; Glomeromycota; Glomeromycetes; Glomerales; Glomeraceae. The record is from RNAcentral.
AGCAGCCGCGGUAAUUCCAGCUCCAAUAGCGUAUAUUAAAGUUGUUGCAGUUAAAAAGCUCGUAGUUGAAUUUCGGGAUCAAUAUGUUGGUCGUGCCUUGGUACGUACUGGCAUUAUCGAUUCCUACCUUCUGAAGAACCUCGAUGUCAUUAAUUUGGUGUCUUGGGGAAUCAGGACUGUUACUUUGAAAAAAUUAGAGUGUUUAAAGCAGGCUCGCGCUUGAAUACAUUAGCAUGGAAUAAUGAAAUAGGACGUUUGAUUCUAUUUUGUUGGUUUCUAGGAUCGACGUAAUGAUUAAUAGGGAUAGUUGGGGGCAUUAGUAUUCAAUUGUCAGAGGUGAAAUUCUUGGAUUUAUUGAAGACUAACUACUGCGAAAGCAUUUGCCAAGGAUGUUUUCAUUAAUCAAGAACGAAAGUUAGGGGAUCGAAGACGAUCAGAUACCGUCGUAGUCUUAACCAUAAACUAUGCCGACUAG